UUACAGCUGCCUGCUGAGUGGGUAAGCUUGGCUGAUCAUGGAAAUGUCACACAUCUGCCGGAUAAAUCUCGGAAGAUUGGUGGAUUUUUACCAAUGUCAGUAUUCUGGCUUGUUACACUAUAGUUUUGCCAAAGUUGUUAUUGGGAGCAUCGUCCCCAAAAGGGUUGCGGGUUCGACCCCGCUCCGGGCGUGUAGGGGAGGCAGUCGAUCCGUGUUUCUCUCCUUCCCCCUCCUCCCUCUAAAAUCAAUAAAAACAUGUCCUCCGGUGAGGGUUUUAUUUUUUUUAUCAUUGGGAGAAGUAGGCAAAGUGUACAAGGGGAUCUCUAUUAUUUCUUACAACAUGCAGGUGAAUCCGCAGUUACCUCACGUGUGUGUGGUUUUGCACCAGCGGCCCCCCCCCCCGCCCCCCCAGGAUCACACACAACUGGGGGAACUCCAGACUGGCAGGUGAUGGAAACCUCCUAAGAACAUAAGGUUGUUGCAGUUGAACCAGGCCGAGAUCCUCCUCCUGGGUCCUCAGGUGCCACUGGAGAUACAGGGUCCCCCAAUUUUUUUAAAAAAUAUUUGUAUUGAUCUCAGAGAGGAAGGGAGAGAUAGAAACAUCAAUGAGAGGAUCACUGAUUGGCUGUCCCCCCGCUUGCCCCCCACUGGGGAUCAAGCCCGCAACCUGGGCAUAUGCCCCUGACCGGAAGAAACCCAGGACCCUUCAGUCCACAGGCCAACGCUCUACCCACUGAGCCACACCGGGUAGGGCAUGGGUCACCCUGUUUUUGCCAGAGGCAGCCAAUGGCAUGGACAUAAUGAAGCCAUUGGGUCUGAUCUGACCUGUCUCCGAAGGUCCUUCCUGGGAAGGUUGGAUGCUCCCACUGAGAACCAGAUUGUAGGUUCUUUGGCCUCUUGCUUCCAGAUGCAACCACCUGACUGGUGGGGACUCGGAUAAAGGGAAAGGAAUCAAACGCCUGCGUUCGGAGGCUCCUGGUAGAUUUCCUGGCGUUCUCAGCCUUUUGAGUCUGAAGAGUAGGGAGCCCAUGCAGAGGGGGAGGCCACCUCCUCAGGCAAGGCCUGCCUCACACUGGAAGGCAGUGGGGACCGAUGGAUAGGUUUCAUUUUUUAAAAUUUAUUUUUCCACAGUAUCUGUUAAUCAUUUAUUUAUCAAGAGAACUAUUCCUUAGCUCAGAUAUCCCUGUUUCAUAUUCAGGAGCACAGCUCAGUGACAAACUUCCAUGGAAUUCAACCCAAAGAAAUUCCUUACAUUCCAAGGUCACGUUGCACUCUGAGAGAUGCCAGCCUUCUUCAUCUCCUCAGACUCUUCCCUGGAAUUACAGUUUCUGUGGGAAUCUGCCAAUGCCUCCUUUCUUGGUUCCCCCACAGCAAACUCACAGAAAGCUGCAGCCCCAGGGACACAAUGGUGGUUCCAACAACAUGAAAUCGCAGACUCGUGGCUGAAGGCCACACAUCGGAGGUCUUGUCAAAGCCCUGGAAGUGUCACUGGACAGGGACCUGGCCCUGAGCUCGUCUCUCUAGGACCAGCGGUUCUGGACUUCAGGAAAAAUGUCGCACCACCAGUCCAGAACAGAACACUAUUUUGAGCUAUGCAGGGCAGGUGGGACCACCCCAGUUUACAAAUGAGUAAGCUGAGGCCCUGAGCAGUGUGAUGACUUCCCAAGGGUAAGGCAGACUGGGAUGACAGAUGGGCCCUUCCUCCUGGAGAGCUGUGUUGGCAGUUGCCCCAGGGCCACAUUUGAGGCCUGGUUAGUUCCUGUGUUGAAGUGGACUGUGAAUUUCCACUCGGCCAGCCUUCCUACGGUUCUGGAUGACAUCCAUUUUGUCUUUUAGUUGUGGUUUUGAUGUGGUUGUGUGAGGCAGCAAGUACAGGUGUAUAUCCAUGCCACCAUCUUGGUUCCUCCAGGGCUAUACCAUCUUAGUUUUAAUAGCAUACAUUAACUUCUCCUAUCCAAUUCUGUACACACACACACACACACACAUUUUAUGUUGUUGCUACAAAUUCACCUCUACACGUUGUUAACAUAGAUUUAUAAUUAUUGUUUUAUAUAUCUUUUAAAUCAUAUCCUAUAUAAUAAAGAGCUAAUAUGAAAAUUGUUGUCAUGCCCUCACGCCAUCAAGCUCAGACAAUUAACACGGGGGAGAGAGGAGUGGGGACCAGCCAGGCACAAAUGAGCUCAUGAGAGAGGAAUGGGGGCCAUCCAGGCACAAAUAAGCUUGUGAGAGAGGAAUGGGAACCAGCCAGGCUGCAGCCAAGGAGAGGAACAAGCCACCUACCCCGUGGUCCCGGGCACCUGUGGCUGCAGCCCGGGUGAAGCCGCCUGCCCAUGGUCCCCUACGGCUGCGGCCAGCCCGGGUGAAGCCACCCCUGUCCAGGUCCUGGGUGCCUGUGGCUGGCCAGAGGAAGGGAAGCACAGGUUCUGGGUGCCUGUGACCAGCUGUAGGAGGGAAUCCUGGGUCCUGAGUGCGGGGUGAGGA
Molecule: long non-coding RNA, 2481 nt
Organism: Myotis myotis
Lineage: Eukaryota; Metazoa; Chordata; Mammalia; Chiroptera; Vespertilionidae
Exons: 3
Source: RefSeq, a predicted model, not a curated record